GGGGCGAGCGUUGUCCGGAAUUACUGGGCGUAAAGGGCGCGUAGGGCUGCUUAAGUCAGAGGUGAAAACUGCCGGCUCAACCGGCRNCCUGCCUUUGAAACUGAGCAGCUUGAGGGCAGGAGAGGGGAGUGGAAUUCCCAGUGUAGCGGUGAAAUGCGUAGAUAUUGGGAGGAACACCAGUGGCGAAGGCGGCUCUCUGGCCUGUUGCUGACGCUGAGGCGCGAAAGUGGGGGAGCAAACGGGAUUAGAUACCCCGGUAGUCCACGCCGUAAACGAUGGGUGCUAGGUGUAGGAGGUAUCGACCCCUUCUGUGCCGUAGUUAACACAAUAAGCACCCCGCCUGGGGAGUACGGCCGCAAGUUGAAACUCAAAGGAAUUGACGGGGGCCCGCACAAGCGUGGAGCAUGUGGUUUAAUUCGACGCAACGSAAGAACCUUACCAGGGCUUGACAUCCCCUGACCGCCUAUGAAAGUAGGUUUUCUAUCUUCGGGUAGACAGGGAGACAGGUGGUGCAUGGUUGUCGUCAGCUCGUGUCGUGAGAUGUUGGGUUAAGUCCCGCAACGAGCGCAACCCCUACGUUUAGUUGCUAACGUGUAAGGCGAGCACUCUAGACGAACUGCGUUGACAAACGGAGGAGGUGGGGAUGACGUCAAAUCAUCAUGCCCYUAUGUCUGGGCACACA
RNAcentral lists this ribosomal RNA (682 nucleotides) under uncultured bacterium. RNAcentral describes it as "bacterial SSU rRNA". It matches the Rfam family "Bacterial small subunit ribosomal RNA", at positions 531 to 1220 of the family's 1533-position model. The record is from RNAcentral.